UGACGGCAGGUAUUAUUACUUUUUG
Molecule: non-coding RNA, 25 nt
Filed under: Mus musculus (house mouse)
Lineage: Eukaryota; Metazoa; Chordata; Mammalia; Rodentia; Muridae
Source: RNAcentral